Molecule: transfer RNA, 72 nt
Filed under: Ornithorhynchus anatinus (platypus)
Lineage: Eukaryota; Metazoa; Chordata; Mammalia; Monotremata; Ornithorhynchidae
Rfam family: tRNA
About the family: Transfer RNA (tRNA) molecules are approximately 80 nucleotides in length. Their secondary structure includes four short double-helical elements and three loops (D, anti-codon, and T loops).
Source: Rfam by way of RNAcentral
AGCAGUGUGGCUCAGUGGAAAGAGCCCGGGCUUGGGAGUCAGAGGUCACGGGUUCAAAUCCCGGCUCUGCCA